UAGCACCUUGCUGCUGUCCUGUCAGCUCUGGCUGAUCCUCCAGUUCUCAACCAGCCGGUUGCUGGAAGCAGAAAGGUUCUGUGGGAGCUUGGGAGUGGUGCAGGGGCAUGUGCAUCUUCAGACUACUUUUGACAGUGGCUGUGAGCGACUACCUGUGCUGUCGCAGUCAAUGGGUUGUGGGGGGCAUUGGUUGGGUUCCUCACUGUGGCUGCAUGGACAGAACCCAGUUUUAUCUCUCCAGUAAGUUCCUGUCUCCCGAAGUGCCGCUAUCCUCUGUCUUUCCUCCUCAGUGAGCAGAGUGCUAUGUCCAUGUCCAUUAGCAUCGUUAGGACCAGAUUUGGACUGCAAUAAAAAAGGGCUGUUUUCUGGUUUGCUCUGAUGUAAAUCCACAGCCUCUGUUCUAGCAGUACAGUGUAUGCUGGUACUGCUACACAGUUCAAGCAUUGCUGUAGGAAACUUGCAGGGUAAGUAAUAUCAAAGACUAGUCUCAUUUUCCCCCAAGAACCCAGUUAUGGUGAAUACCAAGGUUAAAGGUAUAACUGGUUCCAUAUUUUUAAUUAUUUCCCCCAUCGGGACACAUCACCAUGGAUGCUUGUCAGAUGAUUGGCAAGCAGUACCUGACCCUCUGCCUUAGCUUGCAGUGGCCAGGAGUGAAAUGUCUUCUAUCAAAAAGAGUGGUGAUGCUCUGAGUGUGUGUGGCUGAAGGAAAGUAAUUAAUGUUCAUGAUGGAAAUACCUUGUGUUUUUGUGUGUUUCUCUCUCUGACCUCUUGGUCAGGUCAGCCCCCAUAUGUUUUGUUUCAGAUGGCCAUCAGUAUUUGAAUUCAUGGUGGCAAGAGGGUUAUGUGGCUUGGAAUUUGGUAUUCAACAGCGACAGAGUGAAGCACAUGAGCAGCAGCAACCCUUUCAUUCCCUCUGGAGAAGGCUGCUCUCAAGCAAUGCCAAGAAACUACCUACUCCAUGUAGCAUGUGGCUUUGCUAAUAUCUCUGUGCCUAGUGCCUGGGCACCAAGCCCCUGCUCCACUGCCAUUCCUCCUCUUGACUGGAAGGUUUAGCUUUCUUCAGACAUCAGCUGGAUCUAAUUUGAGGAUUAGCUUUUUCAUCUCUGGCACCCAUCAAUAGAAAAACUUAAGGCAAUCUGCCUUAAGUUAUCAAAACUUGCAAAUGACUCUUUACUUAAAUUUUUGAGGAAAAACUGUCUAAGCCUGAAAGAGAGAGACUUGGUGCCAUGAUGUGUUGCAACUGACCACCAGAACAGGAAUGACUUGUAGACAGGAGAUCAGCCUCGGUGUGAAUCUUGCUUCAGGCGGAAUCCCAUCCGUCUAGGAAGAUGUCUAAAGGCUCUAGGUCUUGCUCAUGUUAUGUCUCAAAUCCCUGCCACACACUGAACCAGUUCAGUAGAUGAGUGGUAGGGAGCACAUUUCCAGUAUGUGAGCUCCUUAUUAAUCUGUCUGCAGAAGUAACUCAGUACUCUGAGUGUCUACCUAUGCUACCUUGCAGGGCAGCCAAGGGGAAGGUUAGAGAAGACAGGCAGCACAGGUCCCUCCGCUUCCUCCUUCCCUGCCUCAGGCUGCCGGCGCCUGCAGAAGCAAAACAAGAGACACGAGCCACUUGCGAUGAGCAGCAGUUGGGAGCGGAUGCACUCUGUGGUGAUCGCAGCGACGCUCUGCAGAGCCUUGUGGGGUGCCUGGGACUGAGCGGCAUUUCAGGGGUGGGCUCUGGACUCCCGGGUGGUGCUUCUCCAAGCACAGCAUCCCUGUGCACUGUGCUGGCCCAGGAGCUCAGCUGGGGCACUCCUCAUGCUGAGAUGAGGGCUGACUGGGAUGUUUUGAAGAGGUAAUGCCUCCUGGCAAUGCAGGGGCUUUCUAAAAAUCUGCUAUACUUCUGAUUUUUGGAGGCUGGAAAAACUGAACCCAUGUUUUAUUUCUUACCGAUAUUUUUCGAAAUGCCAAAGUUUUUCACUUUGUCAUCUCUUACUUAGAAAACUUAUUUCUGAGAAACUUUUUAAAACUUUCUCUUAUUCUGUCCACCCAUGACUAUCUAUUGGAUUUUCUCCCAGAAUGGAAACUUUGUAUUCUGAGUAGUUACCAGCACAGUAGGUCUCCUGAAUUUAAAAGUAUCCUUUUACUUUUUUUUAGAGUAUGUAAAUAAGCAUGAACAGAUGCUCUGAGAACACUGCCCAGACCUUGCCUGUUUAAAACCAGAUUAUGGGGUUUCUGUGCAAGAAUCAGUUAAGUGGGUGCAACCCUGUCUCACCUCUGAGAACAGCUUUUCUUUUUCCUGCCAGAGCAUCCCUCUUCCAGGCAGACGGGGCACAGGGUCAUCUAAAAUCCCAGCUCUAUCAGUGCCUUUGACUUAAUUCUUUGUGCAGGUAAGUCUGUUUCAGAUUUAUCAUCUUCACCUCAGAGGAGUAAGGUGUGCAGAGCAUAAGGAAAGACCAUCAUCCCGAUGGUCCCAAUGUACAGUUUCUUCUCUACCCCCCUAUCUACCCUGUACCUAAUCAAUCUGCUGAUCUUAUACUUCUCACUUCUGGGCCACUUAAGCAGUACUGCUAUUGUUACUAGCCUGCAAUUAGGAUUUCUUUUGGCAUAUCGUUCUUGAUAUGAAAAUGUCCUCUAACUAGCUCCUUGGCUGCAAGAACAAACUGGUGAGUUUUAUUUUCUUGGUGCAAACUACCAAUUUUCACAUCAGGGAGCCGACGACUAGUCUUCGGAAGGGUGGUGUUCCUACCCUCUCCCUAAAAUGUACUCAGGCUCCAUUCCCACAGUUACUCUGCAAGGGUUUGUUCAGGCUGCCCAGCUGCUGGCGAAGUGGAACUAGGGAGGAGCCCUGAGGGAACUGGUGGUACCUGAUGUAGUUGGAAGGAAAGCAGAAGGAGAUGCUAAAAAGAUUGAAGACUCCAGACUUGGGAGUCUUGGCUCGUUGCUCGACUCUUGUUUAUAUUAUGUAUUAUAUUAUAAGCAUAUAUAUAGGUAUCUAUACAUAAGUGCUUAUAACUGCGUAACCUGGCAGUGCUUUUGGUUUUGUCCAUAAAUGAAGUGGAGAUGCUUUUGAAUUCUGAGCAGAAAAAACCCUGUUCCUUGUUCAUCUGUGCAAAGGGCCAGAGUCUUGAGAGAAGCUACUAAGCAGAAGUGAAAGCAGAGGGAAGAUGCGAAGCACUGCAGAUCUGCCUGCCUGGGCACUCCUACUGCGCUUGUGCGUGCAAUAAAAAUGCCUGCACAUUCCUGCCUUAGUCUUGGGUUUGCUGUUCCAGACGGGCAAGUGCACACCCAAGAAGAACUGCUGUUUCCAUCCUGUUCUGGGGAGGAAACCACUGGCACUGGACGUAGCUGAGACAGUGGCGAUGGGAAUCAGCAGCUCUGUUCCUGCCCCUCCCUUACGUGGCUGGGAAUUCACAUUAUGGUCAAAGCAGGUUUGAAUUGCCUCUCGAGGUGGCUGGGUGCUCUGGAGGAGAGAAAUCUAAUUAACACUCGUUGCCUGCUCAGCUGGACAUAGACAUGAAGCAAGAUCAGACCUGGGAGUAGGUCGUGUGGUUCCUACUAGAGCACGCAGGGCCAGAGCUCCUGUGUGCGGGCUGUGCAGGAUGUGGUGGGCUGGGGCCAGUUCUUGUGCACGUCUGACCCAGAAAGUGUUGAAGUACCUCAUUAUCUCCAGAGCAAGCUCGUUCCAGGCUUGCUUUGUUUGGCCUAUGAGCACUUCCCCAGGAACACAGCUUCAGCUGCUGGUAGAAGACUGGGACCAAGCUGAAGACAGAAAUCUUGGCAAAUGUUGUAAGGUAAAGAGAAGGAUAGGCAAAAUGCAACAUAAAUUUCAAGAGAGGAGUCAAUAGCCUUUAGGAUCAGGAUUUUCUAGCCCUCGUCCUGGCUGAGGUGGGAGGUACACUGACAGAGAGCCCCCUGGUUCAGCACUCUUGAUCUUCUCCAAAACGGGUGUUGGGAAGAAGUGGCUAAGCCCGCCGUGCCCCACUCGUGCCCCGUGCAGCAGCACUGUGCUGCUCUGCACCAGCAAAGGCAGCUUGGCAGCCUGCCUGGACAUGGAAGCUGCUUCAGGACCUGCUCGGGGAGGCAUCGCUCCAGCGCAGGCUGUCCCAAUAAAUGGCAGGUCAUGGCCCGGACGCCUGGGAUUGGGCUGGGAGGAGCGCGGCUGCUCCUGCUGGCACCGUCUUCAGCCCUGUGCUCUGGGUGGUUACUAAAUAGGCAGCCUCCCAUUUCGUACCUCUGGCAGGGGAGACCACCUGCAAAAUAACCCCUUUGUGCCAUCCUGGGGGGUGGCAUGAGAGCGAUGCACUGGGGACGGGCGCCAGCAGCAGCUCUGCCACGUGCCAGGACUUGCGGCAUUGGGAGGAAGAUAGGCUGCAGCCACCCAGUGAGGUUCAGCUCACACAACUCCAGGUGGCACGUGCUGCUGCAAAAGCCCUUCCCUGGUGUUCUCCUUACUCAUAUAAAUAAAAUAUUCUCCUUAUUCAUAUAAAUAAAAUAUAUGUAUGUGUAUCUAUCCAAAUCUUUUUAAAUGGCAUUAUCUCAGUAGAUCUCAGGAUGAAAUUGUUUUUCUGCUACUACAGUGUGCAUGUUAUCUAGGCUUGUUCCUUUUUUUUUUUUUUUUAAAGAUUCACAUUCUUCCAUCUCUCUUAUUUGUUUCUUGCAAACCUGUUUCCUAAGGUUUUGUUUCCCACUGUCCCUGUUCUUCCACUUGGCUUAGGUAUGGUUACAGACUCAAAAUCUUAGACAUCAAGAUUUCAUCCUUUGCGUUUUUCCCUUUAGAUUUUCAUUGGUUCUGACAGGCUGAUUAAAAACCCAGUUUCUUUGCCUUCUGCAGUUUCAAAAAUGUGUAUUGAAAAUGUCUUUUUCUGUAGUCUUAACUGAUCCUUUGUAAUAUUUGUUGGUUCUCUUCCUAUCUUCAGUAAAAAGAUUGAUUUUUUUUUUUUUUUUUAAAAUCUCUCAAGUAACAUCUCCCAAAACCAUAUGGACUUUUUCUUGUUUCACCCCAGAAGAUGUGUAAAGUGAUUUUUUUACUUUAAAUAUGCUUUGCUCAGGAUUUUCCAGCUUGCUUUUGCACUUGUAGAUUUAAUAUUUCCCCUUGCUGCUUAUGUUUACACCGAACAUUUGUUUUCAUUUUCAACUUAUUGUUGUGUUCAGCGCAGUCUUAUCUUGCUGGGCAGAAGUCACAUAGCUUGUAAUUGAUUACAUAGUUUCCUAUCAUAGUCUAUUAGUUCCUGCCAAUUAGCUUGUCGUCUUGUUGAUAAGAUUAUUGCCAUCGGUGCGUGUAGCGAUCGUGGUUAUCCAGGAAUAUUUGAGCAGCAAUGCUGAUGUACACAAUAGUUUUGAGAAUCUCUAGAAAUGUUUCCUUAUUAAAUCUCCUCUCUCCUUACCCCAAUCUGUUGCACAAGGCAAGGUAUUAUUUGGCUUUGCUGUUGUGUUUUAAUCCCUAUAUCCUUACCCUAACUAUUUAACAACUACACUAUUCAGAGUGAGAUGGUUUCCGUGCAGGGAUAUUCUCUGCUUCUCACCGUCUUGUGUAAUCUCUCCUCUGGAACAUCUUCCCUGGUUUCCAGCAAUUACUGAUUUGAGGACUGGAGCUGACUGUUUUAUUUGGACAAUCCUGUUUAAUCGCUGCUGUGGAGGAGCAGCCGUUUGUGAAUUUGCCUAGUUCCUUUCCGAACAAUAUUCUGUGGCAAUGGCCAUGGGUACCACAUUUCAUUAAUUAUGAACAGUGAGAGGAAAAAGUAUUUCCUUUUGUUCUAAGUCUGAAUAUUUCAUCAGAUACCAUUAGGUGUUGCACUAUAAGAUGUUGUGAGUGAUAUAUUCAUCUUCUCUGUCUUUUCCUUGUUUCCUAGACCUCUGUUGUCAACCUCUUUUUAUCCUAGGCAUCUCUUCCCAAGAAGAUGAGUUGUCAUGUAUUUGAUCACUCCUUGGUUGAGUCUGUUCUUUACCUCUGCUUGUCUCUCUUCCCUUGCCCUGUUUCUCCUAUAGGAUGUCCGGUGCUGUGUGGGUAUA
Long non-coding RNA from Harpia harpyja (harpy eagle), 5991 nucleotides. RefSeq lists it as uncharacterized. NCBI's taxonomy places the organism in Eukaryota, Metazoa, Chordata, Aves, Accipitriformes, Accipitridae. The record is from RefSeq and is a predicted model, not a curated record. The transcript is spliced from 2 exons.